ACCUGAUGAUGUGAGCAUUUACGAAAUAGGUCCCUAAAACGCUCCAAGGUCUUAAAGAAAAGUUCCCCAUCCAUUUGUGUGAAACUUGUGAUUGCCCUUUGCAGUU
Malania oleifera is the source of this 106-nucleotide small nucleolar RNA. The record is from RefSeq and is a predicted model, not a curated record. NCBI's taxonomy places the organism in Eukaryota, Viridiplantae, Streptophyta, Magnoliopsida, Santalales, Ximeniaceae.